This 253-nucleotide ribosomal RNA is filed under the name uncultured bacterium. RNAcentral's name for it is "partial 16S ribosomal RNA". It matches the Rfam family "Bacterial small subunit ribosomal RNA", at positions 524 to 776 of the family's 1533-position model. The record is from RNAcentral.
UACGAAGGGUGCAAGCGUUACUCGGAAUUACUGGGCGUAAAGCGUGCGUAGACGGCUAUCUAAGUCGGGUGUGAAAGCCCCGGGCUCAACCUGGGAAUUGCAUUCGAGACUGAAUAGCUAGGGUACGGUAGAGGGAAGCGGAAUUUCCGGUGUAGCGGUGAAAUGCGUAGAUAUCGGAAGGAACAUCAGUGGCGAAAGCGGCUUCCUGGACCAGUACCGACGUUCAGGCACGAAAGCGUGGGGAGCAAACAGG